Molecule: microRNA, 21 nt
Filed under: Picea abies (Norway spruce)
Lineage: Eukaryota; Viridiplantae; Streptophyta; Pinopsida; Pinales; Pinaceae
Description: pab-miR482d-5p
Gene: pab-miR482d-5p
Source: miRBase by way of RNAcentral
GGCUUGCGAGGAUAGGAAAAA